AUUGCGCAACCGAAUUUUGUUGUUAAGCUGCUAUCGGAUCGUACAUGGCACUCAGUCUCAGCGAGUAGAUCAGCAUCGAUCGUCGAGUCAUCUAACUGCGACUAGAUGAUGAACAUCCCAUCAGUCUUAGAGAAUCAAGUCUAGUCUGGGGAGUUGUCGCAGACUGAACUAAGAAUGACGAGGCACACCAGAGUGAGCUGCGCUAAUUGACUCACACGGGAAACUACCAGGUCCAGACAUAGUAAGGAUGACAGAUUGAUAGCUCUUUCUUGAUUCUAUGGGUGGUGGUGCAUGGCCGUUCUUAGUUGGUGGAGUGAUUUGUCUGGUUAAUUCCGAUAACGAACGAGACCUUAACCUGCUAACUAGAUAUUUUCAUUUUAUGAAUAUAUCUUCUUAGAGGGACUAUAUGCUUUAAGUAUAUGGAAGUCUGAGGCAAUAACAGGUCAUGUGAUGCCCUUAUAUGUCCUGGGCGGCGCGCGGGCGUACACUGAUAUAUACAACAAGUGCCUAGCUAGAUAUAGUAUGGCAAUCUCGAAUAUAUAUCGUGAUGGGGAUAGAUCUUUGCAAUUAUAGAUCUUGAACGAGGAAUUCCUAGUAAGUGCAAGUCAUCAUCUUGCAUUGAUUAUGUCCCUGCCCUUUGUACACACCGCCCGUCGCUCCUACCGAUACCGGGGGAUCCGGUGAACCUGUUGGACCCUUUGGGAAAAAUAAGAAACCUUUUCAGAUUGAGUAAUCUAGAGCAACGCUAGAAAUUAAU
Molecule: ribosomal RNA, 757 nt
Filed under: uncultured rumen protozoa
Lineage: Eukaryota
Description: bacterial SSU rRNA
Rfam family: Eukaryotic small subunit ribosomal RNA (bases 148-757)
Source: RNAcentral